Long non-coding RNA from Platichthys flesus (European flounder), 980 nucleotides. RefSeq lists it as uncharacterized. NCBI's taxonomy places the organism in Eukaryota, Metazoa, Chordata, Actinopteri, Pleuronectiformes, Pleuronectidae. The transcript is spliced from 2 exons. The record is from RefSeq and is a predicted model, not a curated record.
CCCCACUCAGGCCCACACCAGAACUGGCGUGAGACAUAGACAGCUGCUGAACAUAUGAGAGUGAACGCUGGCGAGCAACUGGGACGUCAUGAAACCAAACUGGAACAAGAAGAGCACCAAGCAGAAGUGUUCCUGUCCGGCAGUUUUGGAGCGAGGGUGACGUGGAUCCCAUUAGAAGGACUGACCUCCUGCGACGCGCAUCGGAGGGUAUGGGGAGAUAAGCGCGUCGCUCCUGGACCCCUGCCAGGGUUUAAUGGAGCAGUAGUAAAUGAAUUGACGGAGAUGCUUGAUGACCAACAACGACCCAAAACACUCAGGCUUUACUUAAAAACUGGGACAGGCUGAUUUACCCUAAGCUGUUUCAGAUCCAAACGAUUCUAUACCGGUUAUGAAAUUAAUUCAGAUUAACUGCAAAUGCACUGAUCAAAACAAAAUAAAAAGGCAAGGAAGCAUAUCCUGAUUCACACAUCGCAAUGUAUUCACAGUCUCAGUUUAUGCUUUCCUGCAAUAAGCGCUGGCUACAAGUCAAGAAUGUGAACAACAGGGGUCCGAUAAGAGGUAGGGCAGAGGGGUGGGGGGUGAGCCACAGAUCUGAAUUCCCAUGAAUCACUUGGUGCAGUGACCAUUAGGUGCUAGAAUUCGAGUUGACCCGGGAAGAGGCUGUAUCCUGGCACUAAUGAAUCGGAGAGCGACAUGGAUGACCCUCACAUCGCCAAAUCCAACAACACAAGCUAGUUCUCUCUGUAAAGUGAGUAUCAUGAGGGUGAAUAGGAAUCGAGUCCCGGACUGAAAAAGCUAAACAGAUAUUGGAGGGAUUACAGACAUUCAUGUUCCUCGGAGGAUGAUCCCCUGACUCGACCUACACAACUAUUGGUAGUUGUGGGUGUUUUACUAAUGCUACAGCCUCAGAUCCGCUAUCUUUGCUGUACACAUUGUUAAACAUGAAAUUGUUAAAGAAUAAAUAUGUUACAUUUCCUAAA